Molecule: ribosomal RNA, 391 nt
Filed under: Stramenopiles sp. MAST-4E
Lineage: Eukaryota
Description: partial small subunit ribosomal RNA
Rfam family: Eukaryotic small subunit ribosomal RNA
Source: RNAcentral
AUUCCAGCUCCAAUAGCGUAUAUUAAAGUUGUUGCAGUUAAAAAGCUCGUAGUUAGAUUUCUGGUUGAAGCGACCGGUCGGGCGUUGAUUCGUCUGCACUGGAGUCGGUUUUGGCCAUCCUCUAGGAAAGUGCGUCUGGUAUUAAGUUGUCGGGCGUAUGAUACUGGUCUUUUACUGUGAAAAAAUUAGAGUGUUUAAAGCAGGCCUUCGCCUUGAAUACAUUAGCAUGGAAUAAUAAGAUAGGACUUUGGUCUAUUUUGUUGGUUUGCAGACCGAAGUAAUGAUUAAUAGGGAUAGUUGGGGGUAUUUAUAUUCCGAUGUCAGAGGUGAAAUUCUUAGAUUUUCGGAAGAUAAACUUAUGCGAAAGCAUUUACCAAGGAUGUUUUCAUUG